Molecule: ribosomal RNA, 1167 nt
Filed under: Triticum aestivum (bread wheat)
Lineage: Eukaryota; Viridiplantae; Streptophyta; Magnoliopsida; Poales; Poaceae
Description: partial small subunit ribosomal RNA
Source: RNAcentral
AUGAUCUCCGGCGCCAUUCCUUCUUCUUUUUGCAAGUUGCGAUCAUUGCAGUUGUUAGAUCUAUCAAGAAAUAAUCUCAAUGGGUCAAUCACUGAUUGCCUAGUCAAUGGGUCCAACACAAACAUGACAGGUCUGAGUAUCACUAAUCUAAGCUUAAGAAACAACAACCUCUCGGGUGCAUUUCCUUUGCUACUGCAGAAAUGUACACGACUCAUCUUUCUUGAUCUCAGCAAUAAUCAGUUCUCUGGGACUUUACAAGCAUGGAUUGGGGAGAAGCUAUUGUCUUUGUCAUUCUUACGACUGAGAUCCAAUAUAUUUUAUGGUCACAUUCCAGUUGAGCUUACGAAGUUUGUUAAUCUGCAAUAUUUGGACCUUGCGUACAACAAUAUAUCAGGGAGCAUACCGAGAUCUAUUAGUAAUUGCACAGGCAUGGCACAAACAAGAGGCAACUCUGAUAAUCUUCGGUAUGCCUUCAAUUAUAUAUCUGGGGUUAAUGACAAUGUACUAGUUGUCUACAGUGAGAAUUUCACAGUACUCACGAAAGGUCAAGAGAGAUUAUAUACAGGAGAAUUCAUAUAUAUGGUGAAUCUUGAUUUAUCUUGUAAUAGUCUUACCGGAGCGAUACCCGCAGAUAUCAGCACUCUCGUCGCAUUGAAGAGCCUGAACUUAUCAUGGAACAAUUUCAAUGGAAAAAUCCCUGCGAAUAUUGGUGCCUUGAUGCAAGUGGAGUCACUCGACCUGUCACACAAUGAGUUGUCCGGUGAAAUCCCUUCAAGCUUAUCGGCUCUAACAUCAUUGAGUCGUCUGAACCUGUCCUACAACAAUCUGAGAGGAAAGAUACCAACUGGAAAUCAACUGCAAACACUUGAAGACCAGGCAUCUAUUUAUAUUGGCAACCCGGGUCUCUGCGGUCCUCCUCUCUCGCUGAAUUGUUCACAGUCCAAGCCAAUUCCAGGAGAAAAUCAUGGAGAUGCAUGUGACGGCAACGUGGUUUCGUCUUUCAUCGCCACGGGUUCCGGAUAUGUGAUGGGUCUCUGGGUGGUCUUCUGCACGUUCUUGUUCAAGAGGAGAUGGAGAGUUUCGUGGUACUCGCUCUGCGACAGCCUGUAUGACCGGGUUUAUGUGCAAGUGGCUGUUACCUGGGCUUCCUUGAGAGGUAAAAAGUAA